GCAACUUUCAGCAGUGGAUGUCUAGGCUCGCACAUCGAUGAAGAACGCUGCGAACUGCGAUACGUAAUGCGAAUUGCAGGAUUCAGUGAGUCAUCGAAAUUUUGAACGCAUAUUGCACCUUCGGGUUCGUCCUGGAGGUAUGCCUGUAUCAGUGUCCGU
This 159-nucleotide ribosomal RNA is filed under the name Peronospora oblatispora. RNAcentral describes it as "5.8S ribosomal RNA". It matches the Rfam family "5.8S ribosomal RNA". From Rfam's summary of the family: 5.8S ribosomal RNA (5.8S rRNA) is a component of the large subunit of the eukaryotic ribosome. Lineage: Eukaryota; Oomycota; Peronosporomycetes; Peronosporales; Peronosporaceae. The record is from RNAcentral.